GAGUUUGAUCAUGGCUCAGAUUGAACGCUGGCGGCAUGCCUUACACAUGCAAGUCGAACGCGAAAGUGGGGGCAACCCUGCGAGUAGAGUGGCGAACGGGUGAGUAACACAUCGGAACGUACCCAGGAGUGGGGGACAACCUCGAGAAAUCGAGGCUAAUACCGCAUACGUCCUGAGGGAGAAAGCGGGGGAUUCGCAAGGACCUCGCGCUCAUGGAGCGGCCGAUGUCGGAUUAGCUAGUUGGCGGGGUAAAAGCCCACCAAGGCUACGAUCCGUAGCUGGUUUGAGAGAACGACCAGCCACACUGGGACUGAGACACGGCCCAGACUCCUACGGGAGGCAGCAGUGGGGAAUUUUGGACAAUGGGGGCAACCCUGAUCCAGCCAUGCCGCGUGAGUGAAGAAGGCCUUCGGGUUGUAAAGCUCUUUCGGCCGGAACGAAAUCGCGUACGCGAAUAACGUGCGUGGAUGACGGUACUGGAAGAAGAAGCACCGGCUAACUACGUGCCAGCAGCCGCGGUAAUACGUAGGGUGCGAGCGUUAAUCGGAAUUACUGGGCGUAAAGCGUGCGCAGGCGGUUCUGCAAGUCAGAUGUGAAAUCCCCGGG
RNAcentral lists this ribosomal RNA (606 nucleotides) under uncultured bacterium. RNAcentral's name for it is "bacterial SSU rRNA". It matches the Rfam family "Bacterial small subunit ribosomal RNA", at positions 9 to 607 of the family's 1533-position model. The record is from RNAcentral.